CAGCCGUAAACUAUGCUCGCUAGGUGUCAGGCAUGGCGCGACCGUGUCUGGUGCCGCAGGGAAGCCGUGAAGCGAGCCACCUGGGAAGUACGGCCGCAAGGCUGAAACUUAAAGGAAUUGGCGGGGGAGCACAACAACGGGUGGAGCCUGCGGUUUAAUUGGACUCAACGCCGGACAACUCACCGGGAACGACAGCAACAUGUAGGCCAGGCUGAAGACCUUGCCUGAAUCGCUGAGAGGAGGUGCAUGGCGUAGACGUCU
RNAcentral lists this ribosomal RNA (261 nucleotides) under uncultured archaeon. RNAcentral's name for it is "partial 16S ribosomal RNA". It matches the Rfam family "Archaeal small subunit ribosomal RNA", at positions 748 to 1009 of the family's 1478-position model. The record is from RNAcentral.